This is a long non-coding RNA of Eriocheir sinensis (Chinese mitten crab), 631 nucleotides long. RefSeq lists it as uncharacterized. The transcript is spliced from 4 exons. Lineage: Eukaryota; Metazoa; Arthropoda; Malacostraca; Decapoda; Varunidae. The record is from RefSeq and is a predicted model, not a curated record.
CAGGCGACCUGGUUCCUCUCAGGCAGACCAAGGCUGACCUCAGGAGGGAGAAGGACAGCCUGCAUCUCAUCCAGGCGACCACACUGCUUCUUGGCUGCUGUUUCUUAUCCGCCAGUGUUUCGGCGAGUCUUGCGUAGAAGCUCUGCGCCCUUGGUCCCAUCCCUCCUGCCGUCAAGUCCGGUGUCCCAACCUCACUACAACGCUGACUACUGCCUUAAGUGUGGUAGUGGAGGAUAGAGGCCGAGUGGAGGCUACAGCGGACUAUUCCUGCGAGAAGGGGAGGAGGAUAGUCAGGAAUAGUCAGCGGAAGUGUGGUAGUAAUGGUAUCUGGAGUGGCAGUCAACCGCGCUGUGAAUAUGUGACCUGCGACCUACCACAAGGCUUGGAUAAUGGUAGAAUAGUCCGACUCAACCAGACCCUGGAAUACGGUAGCCUGGUCGAAUAUCACUGUCUACCGGAACACAGGCUGGUCGGGGGGAGCUUCCGGAGGUCAUGUGGCGAGCUGGGCGAGUGGUUGGGUGGAGAACCGAAGUGUGUGUUGGGUCCAGAGGAUGCCUACAACACCAUAGGCUCCGAUAGUAGUAGUAGUAGUGAGUACUACUUCUACGCUUCUACCGCUAGCAACACCGGG